This 482-nucleotide ribosomal RNA is filed under the name uncultured bacterium. RNAcentral's name for it is "partial 16S ribosomal RNA". It matches the Rfam family "Bacterial small subunit ribosomal RNA", at positions 30 to 507 of the family's 1533-position model. The record is from RNAcentral.
AUUGAACGCUGGCGGCAUGCCUUACACAUGCAAGUCGAACGGUAACGGGCCUUCGGGUGCCGACGCGUGGCGAACGGGUGAGUAAUACAUCGGAACGUGCCCGAUCGUGGGGGAUAACGAGGCGAAAGCUUUGCUAAUACCGCAUACGAUCUACGGUUGAAAGCAGGGGACCGCAAGGCCUUGCGCGGACGGAGCGGCCGAUGGCGGAUUAGGCAGUUGGUGGGAUAAAAGCUUACCAAGCCGACGAUUUGUAGCUGGUCUGAGAGGAUGAUCAGCCACACUGGGACUGAGACACGGCCCAGACUCCUACGGGAGGCAGCAGUGGGGAAUGUUGGACAAUGGGCGCAAGCCUGAUCCAGCCAGGCCGCGUGCAGGAUGAAGGCCUUCGGGUUGUAAACUGCUUUUGUACGGAACGAAAAGCCUUCUUUUAAUACAGGAGGGUCAUGACGGUACCGGAAGAAUAAGCACCGGCUAACUACGUG